Molecule: ribosomal RNA, 497 nt
Filed under: uncultured bacterium
Lineage: Bacteria
Description: partial 16S ribosomal RNA
Rfam family: Bacterial small subunit ribosomal RNA
Source: RNAcentral
GAUGAACGCUGGCGGCGUGCCUAAUACAUGCAAGUCGAGCGAACAGACGAGGAGCUUGCUCCUCUGACGUUAGCGGCGGACGGGUGAGUAACACUUGGAUAACCUACCUAUAAGACUGUGAUAACUUCGGGAAACCGGAGCUAAUACCGGAUAAUAUAUUGAACCGCAUGGUUCAAUAGUGAAAGACGGUUUUGCUGUCACUUAUGGAUGGAUCCGCGCCGCAUUAGCUAGUUGGUAAGGUAACGGCUUACCAAGGCAACGAUGCGUAGCCGACCUGAGAGGGUGAUCGGGCACACUGGAACUGAGAAACGGUACAGACUCCGACGGGAGGAAGCAGUAGGGAAUCUUACGCAAUGGGCGAAAGCCUGACGGAGCAACGCCGCGUGAGUGAUGAAGGUCUUCGGAUCGUAAAACUCUGUUAUUAGGGAAGAACAAAUGUGUAAGUAACUAUGCACGUCUUGACGGUACCUAAUCAGAAAGCCACGGCUAACUACGUG